RNAcentral lists this ribosomal RNA (338 nucleotides) under uncultured Rhodococcus sp. RNAcentral describes it as "bacterial SSU rRNA". It matches the Rfam family "Bacterial small subunit ribosomal RNA", at positions 1045 to 1382 of the family's 1533-position model. Lineage: Bacteria; Bacillati; Actinomycetota; Actinomycetes; Mycobacteriales; Nocardiaceae. The record is from RNAcentral.
AUGGCUGUCGUCAGCUCGUGUCGUGAGAUGUGGGUUAAGUCCCGCAACGAGCGCAACCCUACUCUUAUGUUGCCAGCACGUUAUGGUGGGGACUCGUAAGAGACUGCCGGGGUCAACUCGGAGGAAGGUGGGGACGACGUCAAGUCAUCAUGCCCCUUAUGUCCAGGGCUUCACACAUGCUACAAUGGCCAGUACAGAGGGCUGCGAGACCGUGAGGUGGAGCGAAUCCCUUAAAGCUGGUCUCAGUUCGGAUCGGGGUCUGCAACUCGACCCCGUGAAGUCGGAGUCGCUAGUAAUCGCAGAUCAGCAACGCUGCGGUGAAUACGUUCCCGGGCCUU